GAGGAGAGAGAAAGUCCACAUCUGGCUUGGUAGUCUGCUGAGGUGGAGAGAAGGGGCGUCGGCCAGUCCCCUCCCCAACUUGGGGAGGAUGGCGACCUGAGGUAGGGGAGAGGAAGGGCGAUUUGACCAGAUAUGCUUCCUGUCCAUCGGCUGCUCAGUGAGAAAUGCCUUGGCUGCCUGCCUGUCAUCUCUCUCGAAGGACAUCAGGGUUCUGAGGCUUCGAUGGGUGUGUGGGGUUUCACGUCUAGAAGCCUUCUUCCCCCACUGGGGGCUGCCCUUGGUUGA
Molecule: long non-coding RNA, 285 nt
Filed under: Phascolarctos cinereus (koala)
Lineage: Eukaryota; Metazoa; Chordata; Mammalia; Diprotodontia; Phascolarctidae
Description: lncRNA (ENSPCIG00000035344.1)
Source: RNAcentral